RNAcentral lists this ribosomal RNA (597 nucleotides) under Crangonyx hobbsi. Its description in RNAcentral is "partial large subunit ribosomal RNA". It matches the Rfam family "Eukaryotic large subunit ribosomal RNA", at positions 170 to 612 of the family's 3401-position model. Lineage: Eukaryota; Metazoa; Arthropoda; Malacostraca; Amphipoda; Crangonyctidae. The record is from RNAcentral.
GCUAUCCCGACUAACGGAGGGACUGACUCCACGGAGGGUGUAAGACCCGUGUGGGCGCGUGUUAAAGCUGAUUGGGGUUGGCCUCUUUUCCCUGAGAGUCGCGUUGCUCUGGCAUGCAGCGCUAAGCAGGUCGUAAACUCGAUCUAAGGCUAAAUAUUUCCACAGGCCCGAUAGCGAACAAGUACCGUGAGGGAAAGUUGAAAAGCACUCUGAAGAGAGAGUCAAAAGACCGUGAAACCGCUCAGAGUAUAAGCCCAUGGAGCUCGGAAGGCAUACCGCAGUCCUAUCACAAGGUCGGCUUGCAUGAAUGGUCCGUCAGGCAGUGGCAUUCAGUUGAUAACACGCUGACGUGCGGGGGAGGACACUGGUCGCGUAGACGGGCUUCGGCCCGUUUUGCACGGCCAGCUACUCCCUUGAGCACGGACGUUCAAGGGUGCUUGCCGUAUGCGGAAACGCCCACCACGUCUCGUUGCGUGGUCACCCACAGGCUCGACUGUCGAUCGCGUGUUCACCUCGUUCGCAAAGAUGUGUCGAUGGCUGUCCCUGGCCCCCCCUCUAGGGGUCGGGACUGACACUUGCGUUCGAGGCUACUUUUUU